ACAAUUGACUCGAUAGAUUCCAAACUGUCAAACGUUUAGAUGUAUAGUCUUGUGGAGAUAAUGAAACAAACCCUGAAAUAGACCAGCAGUCGCAGUCGCUAUUGGACAUCUGCUACACACAGUGCUCCUGAUGUGAAUACAUAUUGCUUCAUUUUUAUUACCCUCAGUCUUCCUAACAUAAACAAAGUGCGUCGAAAUGAAAAGCGUCAUACUUAUUGUACUGCUGAGCACCGCUCUCCUGAAAUUUGAGCUCACCUCAACUACUGCAGAACAAACGAUAUGCGGAACAUCCAGGUGUACUCUAACAAGUCCAUGCUGUAACAGAAACCAUACUUGCGUAUGUUCCCAAAGAGAUUCUGGGUUGCUUUGUAGAUGUAAAAGAAUUAAUAAUGCAUCGAAAAUGAACUUGAUUCAAAACCGAAGAUGUGUACCGUAUUAAAGAAAAUAAACUGCAGUUUUU
Molecule: long non-coding RNA, 460 nt
Organism: Physella acuta
Lineage: Eukaryota; Metazoa; Mollusca; Gastropoda; Physidae
Source: RefSeq, a predicted model, not a curated record